Molecule: ribosomal RNA, 253 nt
Filed under: uncultured bacterium
Lineage: Bacteria
Also listed under: 1 other name
Description: partial 16S ribosomal RNA
Rfam family: Bacterial small subunit ribosomal RNA
Source: RNAcentral
UACAGAGGGUGCAAGCGUUGCUCGGAAUCAUUGGGCGUAAAGGGUAGGUAGGUGGUCUCGUUUGUCUGGGGUGAAAGCCCAGGGCUUAACCCUGGAAGUGCCCCGGAAACGGCGAGACUAGAGUUCUGGAGAGGGUCGUGGAAUUCCCGGUGUAGCGGUGAAAUGCGUAGAGAUCGGGAGGAACACCAGAGGCGAAGGCGGCGACCUGGACAGAUACUGACACUCAACUACGAAAGCGUGGGGAGCAAACAGG